Molecule: ribosomal RNA, 420 nt
Filed under: uncultured bacterium
Lineage: Bacteria
Description: bacterial SSU rRNA
Rfam family: Bacterial small subunit ribosomal RNA
Source: RNAcentral
AACGCGAAGAACCUUACCAGGUCUUGACAUCUCCUGACCACCCUAGAGAUAGGGCUUUCCCUUCGGGGACAGGAUGACAGGUGGUGCAUGGUUGUCGUCAGCUCGUGUCGUGAGAUGUUGGGUUAAGUCCCGCAACGAGCGCAACCCUUGUCCUUAGUUGCCAGCAUUCAGUUGGGCACUCUAAGGAGACUGCCGGCUAAAAGUCGGAGGAAGGUGGGGAUGACGUCAAAUCAUCAUGCCCCUUAUGACCUGGGCUACACACGUGCUACAAUGGAUGGUACAAAGGGCUGCGAUACCGCGAGGUGGAGCUAAUCCCAAAAAACCAUUCUCAGUUCGGAUUGCAGGCUGCAACUCGCCUGCAUGAAGCCGGAAUCGCUAGUAAUCGCAGAUCAGCAUGCUGCGGUGAAUACGUUCCCGGGC